This 258-nucleotide ribosomal RNA is filed under the name uncultured bacterium. RNAcentral describes it as "partial 16S ribosomal RNA". It matches the Rfam family "Bacterial small subunit ribosomal RNA", at positions 524 to 776 of the family's 1533-position model. The record is from RNAcentral.
UACGGAGGGGGGCGAGCGUUAUUCGGAAUUAUUGGGCGUAAAGGGCGCGUAGGCGGCUGUACAAGUCAAAAGGUGAAAAUCCCCUCGGCUCAACUGAGGAACUGCCUUUGAAAACUGUACGGCUUGAGGCCGGGAGGGGUAGCGGAAUUCCCAGUGUAGCGGUGAAGUGCGUAGAUACUGGGAGGAACACCAGUGGCGAAGGCGGCUACCUGGACCGGUUCUGACGCUGAGGCGCGAAAAGCGUGGGGAGCAAACAGG